Molecule: ribosomal RNA, 663 nt
Filed under: Staphylococcus pasteuri
Lineage: Bacteria; Bacillati; Bacillota; Bacilli; Caryophanales; Staphylococcaceae
Description: bacterial SSU rRNA
Rfam family: Bacterial small subunit ribosomal RNA
Source: RNAcentral
CUAGCGGCGGACGGGUGAGUAAUGCUUAGGAAUCUGCCUAUUAGUGGGGGACAACAUUCCGAAAGGAAUGCUAAUACCGCAUACGCCCUACGGGGGAAAGCAGGGGAUCUUCGGACCUUGCGCUAAUAGAUGAGCCUAAGUCAGAUUAGCUAGUUGGUGGGGUAAAGGCCUACCAAGGCGACGAUCUGUAGCGGGUCUGAGAGGAUGAUCCGCCACACUGGGACUGAGACACGGCCCAGACUCCUACGGGAGGCAGCAGUGGGGAAUAUUGGACAAUGGGCGAAAGCCUGAUCCAGCCAUGCCGCGUGUGUGAAGAAGGCCUUUUGGUUGUAAAGCACUUUAAGCGAGGAGGAGGCUACUUGGAUUAAUACUCUAGGAUAGUGGACGUUACUCGCAGAAUAAGCACCGGCUAACUCUGUGCCAGCAGCCGCGGUAAUACAGAGGGUGCGAGCGUUAAUCGGAUUUACUGGGCGUAAAGCGUGCGUAGGCGGCUUUUUAAGUCGGAUGUGAAAUCCCUGAGCUUAACUUAGGAAUUGCAUUCGAUACUGGGAAGCUAGAGUAUGGGAGAGGAUGGUAGAAUUCCAGGUGUAGCGGUGAAAUGCGUAGAGAUCUGGAGGAAUACCGAUGGCGAAGGCAGCCAUCUGGCCUAAUACUGACGCUGAG